Long non-coding RNA from Oryzias melastigma (Indian medaka), 1978 nucleotides. RefSeq lists it as uncharacterized. NCBI's taxonomy places the organism in Eukaryota, Metazoa, Chordata, Actinopteri, Beloniformes, Adrianichthyidae. The record is from RefSeq and is a predicted model, not a curated record. The transcript is spliced from 3 exons.
UACUAAAGGGGCUUUUAUGUCGUGGAUCUUAAAAGCAUUUUCCUCAAAAACAAAAAUGAGUCAGACUUUGACAGAAUCAUAACUCAAAGCCCCGUUUCUCCAGCCUCAUUAUGCCUUAAAAUCAUCUGUUUUCUUGAGUUAUUCGGGGAAGAAUGCCUCUUAUCUUCUCUGUCAUUAACUGACUCAUGACAUCACAGCCAGGAAGCGGUAAUGUUAGGAACCAAUAAAGUCAACAGGAAGGAACGUAAAGGAUGAAGAUUUUUCGUCAUAUCUAUGAAAACUAACCAUGCAGAAAUAACUUUAUUCUAAAGUCUUUGAUACUGACUCUGCUGUGGACACUAUGGCCUAUUUAUGAAUGCUUAAAGCUCUACAAACAAGACAAACCAGAUCUAAUACACACUGUAUGUGCGUGUGCGUGUGUUAGUCUGUCUGGGCCUCGUCCUGUUGCUAGUCAGAUGGGUGUCUGUGAAGAGGAUUAUUACUGUAAGCCUGCUUUACCCAUACACUGUCUCAAAGCCCUACAUUCACAAGACCCACUUUCCACACCAUCUACUAUCUGCACUCCUUUUAGAAUGACAGGCUACUUUUUUAAAUCGUAAACAAAAUUGCAAUUCAACAAUCCUUUAUUUAAUUAAAAUUUGACCUAAACAGUUAUGAACUUGAAUAUUAUGUUGAAAUCCUAAAAAAAUAACUAGUAAAAUAAUUGAUUUUUCUUCCAACAGUAGGGCAAGCUCAGCACCAAAAAUGUAUUUCACCCCAAUUCUGCACUGUAUAAAUAUUCUUCUAAAAUCUGGAGACAAAUCUCAAAAUGACGUGCAUAAAAACGGCUAAAACCUCUCAGUAAUCCCUAACCUUUCAAAUUUAGGUAAAGUAGCUUGGUGCCUUGUGUGUGUGUAUUUGUGGUUACAUGACCCACAAGUUGCCUCAGACAGGAUGACCUUGUUUCUAUAAUUUCAUUAAAACUGUUACAGGAUUUGCAAACAACCUUAACAAAACAUAUGUUUAAAAAUGUUUGCAUCUAUAUAUUCUUGGAAAACAGCAUCACUUUAUGAGCUAGCUAAGGUUUUAAUGGUGGCUCAAAGGAAAAAAAUCAAACUUUUGGUAUAAAACUUUAAAGAAUGUAGGGCAGAUUUUUUUUUAUUACUAUUAUUUUUUAAGAUGAUUAUUUAUUUAACUCAUUUUUAAGCAUAAAAACUGGUAAUAUGGUUAUGAAGUUUUUUUAGUCAUUUUAUUUUGAAAUACAAAGCAUUUUUUUAAUACAAAGCAGUUGACAAGAUGGCCCUGAUAAAUGCACAGGAAGUUAGCAUGGAUGCUGAAAAUACAAGCCUUAAAUAAACACACAUUAAUGUUAAAAUGAAAAAAAAAUGCCUAAACGAUCUUUUUUAGUAUUUAAAAAUGUUUAAUGUUAAGUCUAAAAUGAGCUUUAAGUUCUGCUGGGUUUAAAAAGUGCAGAGAAGCACUGGGAUAUGGCUAUUUCCUGGAGUUUGAACUUUAAAACCUGGAAAAGACGUCACAAAGGGAAACUGUGCUACACCCGGUCCUCCGGUCCUCUCAGCUGCUGGUGUUUGACAGCAUUCCUUCCAGCAGGAGCCAACGGACGAGGCUGAACCCCCCCACCCACCAUGACCGCUACUCUCAUUGCAGUUUGGUGUGAGACUUUGUAAGGUUCCUGUGUGGAUUGGAGUGGAUUGGGGCUGUGGAAUUUGUGUGGAGGGUAAUCACUGCAGACCUACAGGAGUAACCAGAUACCAACUGCCAGACUUCAGAGGAGCGGGAAUCCCUUCACCCAGACACACCACCUCCUACAGGAGACGCCUUGGCUGGGUAUAAACCGCCUGAGCUCUCCUAAGCUAAACCAGACCCUAGUGUCCAGCAUGGCUCUUAAUUGAUGUUAGUUAGUUAACAUUUUAAAAAGGAAGUAUGCGCCGUUUUGUGGAAAAAUGGCGACUGAAUGAAAUUAAUUUCAUUGGAACAGGAA